CUAGCGAGCCAACCUCCCACCCGUGUUUACUGUACCUUAGUUGCUUCGGCGGGCCCGCCAUUCAUGGCCGCCGGGGGCUCUCAGCCCCGGGCCCGCGCCCGCCGGAGACACCACGAACUCUGUCUGAUCUAGUGAAGUCUGAGUUGAUUGUAUCGCAAUCAGUUAAAACUUUCAACAAUGGAUCUCUUGGUUCCGGCAUCGAUGAAGAACGCAGCGAAAUGCGAUAACUAGUGUGAAUUGCAGAAUUCCGUGAAUCAUCGAGUCUUUGAACGCACAUUGCGCCCCCUGGUAUUCCGGGGGGCAUGCCUGUCCGAGCGUCAUUGCUGCCCAUCAAGCACGGCUUGUGUGUUGGGUCGUCGUCCCCUCUCCGGGGGGGACGGGCCCCAAAGGCAGCGGCGGCACCGCGUCCGAUCCUCGAGCGUAUGGGGCUUUGUCACCCGCUCUGUAGGCCCGGCCGGCGCUUGCCGAACGCAAAUCAAUCUUUUCCAGGUUGACCUCGGAUCAGGUAGGGAUACCCGCUGAACUUAAGCAUAUCAAUAAGCGGAGGAAAAGAAACCAACCGGGAUUGCCUCAGUAACGGCGAGUGAAGCGGCAAGAGCUCAAAUUUGAAAGCUGGCUCCUUCGGGGUCCGCAUUGUAAUUUGCAGAGGAUGCUUCGGGUGCGGCCCCUGUCUAAGUGCCCUGGAACGGGCCGUCAGAGAGGGUGAGAAUCCCGUCUGGGAUGGGGUGUCCGCGCCCGUGUGAAGCUCCUUCGACGAGUCGAGUUGUUUGGGAAUGCAGCUCUAAAUGGGUGGUAAAUUUCAUCUAAAGCUAAAUACUGGCCGGAGACCGAUAGCGCACAAGUAGAGUGAUCGAAAGAUGAAAAGCACUUUGAAAAGAGAGUUAAAAAGCACGUGAAAUUGUUGAAAGGGAAGCGCUUGCGACCAGACUCGCCUCCAGGGUUCAGCCGGCAUUCGUGCCGGUGUACUUCCCUGGGGGCGGGCCAGCGUCGGUUUGGGCGGCCGGUCAAAGGCUCCCGGAAUGUAGUGCCCUCCGGGGCACCUUAUAGCCGGGAGUGCAAUGCGGCCAGCCUGGACCGAGGAACGCGCU
Molecule: ribosomal RNA, 1088 nt
Filed under: Aspergillus oryzae
Lineage: Eukaryota; Fungi; Ascomycota; Eurotiomycetes; Eurotiales; Aspergillaceae
Description: eukaryotic LSU rRNA
Rfam family: Eukaryotic large subunit ribosomal RNA (bases 492-1088)
Source: RNAcentral